GACAGAGGGGGCAAGCGUUGCUCGGAAUCACUGGGCGUAAAGGGCGCGUAGGCGGGAGGUCAAGUCGGUCGUGAAAUCUCCGGGCUCAACCCGGAGGAGUCGGCCGAAACUGGUCUUCUUGAGGGAGGCAGAGGAGUCUGGAAUUCCCGGUGUAGCGGUGAAAUGUGUAGAGAUCGGGAGGAACACCGGUGGCGAAGGCGGGACUCUGGGCCUACCCUGACGCUGAGGCGCGAAGGCGUGGGGAGCAAACGGG
This 253-nucleotide unclassified non-coding RNA is filed under the name uncultured bacterium. Its description in RNAcentral is "contains 16S-23S intergenic spacer region". It matches the Rfam family "Bacterial small subunit ribosomal RNA", at positions 524 to 776 of the family's 1533-position model. The record is from RNAcentral.